This 597-nucleotide ribosomal RNA is filed under the name Hanseniaspora uvarum. RNAcentral describes it as "eukaryotic LSU rRNA". It matches the Rfam family "Eukaryotic large subunit ribosomal RNA", at positions 43 to 654 of the family's 3401-position model. The record is from RNAcentral. Lineage: Eukaryota; Fungi; Ascomycota; Saccharomycetes; Saccharomycodales; Saccharomycodaceae.
UUGUCUUUCGGAGGAAAAGAAACCAACUGGGAUUACCUUAGUAACGGCGAGUGAAGCGGUAAAAGCUCAAAUUUGAAAUCUGGUACUUUCAGUGCCCGAGUUGUAAUUUGUAGAAUUUGUCUUUGAUUAGGUCCUUGUCUAUGUUCCUUGGAACAGGACGUCAUAGAGGGUGAGAAUCCCGUUUGGCGAGGAUACCUUUUCUCUGUAAGACUUUUUCGAAGAGUCGAGUUGUUUGGGAAUGCAGCUCAAAGUGGGUGGUAAAUUCCAUCUAAAGCUAAAUAUUGGCGAGAGACCGAUAGCGAACAAGUACAGUGAUGGAAAGAUGAAAAGAACUUUGAAAAGAGAGUGAAAAAGUACGUGAAAUUGUUGAAAGGGAAGGGCAUUUGAUCAGACAUGGUGUUUUUUGCAUGCACUCGCCUCUCGUGGGCUUGGGCCUCUCAAAAAUUUCACUGGGCCAACAUCAAUUCUGGCAGCAGGAUAAAUCAUUAAGAAUGUAGCUACUUCGGUAGUGUUAUAGCUUUUUGGAAUACUGUUAGCCGGGAUUGAGGACUGCGCUUCGGCAAGGAUGUUGGCAUAAUGGUUAAAUGCCGCCCGUCU